Monomorium pharaonis (pharaoh ant) is the source of this 961-nucleotide long non-coding RNA. RefSeq lists it as uncharacterized. The record is from RefSeq and is a predicted model, not a curated record. NCBI's taxonomy places the organism in Eukaryota, Metazoa, Arthropoda, Insecta, Hymenoptera, Formicidae. The transcript has 2 exons.
AUUAAGAUGGCGGAGGGUGGAGGGAUUUCUUCCCGCACAAUCGACUUCGCGUAUCACGAUUGACGUGUCAUUACGAGUCGCGAUCUUCGCUCGAACGAGUGUUGACAGAUACGGGUUCAAACGAAUUGCAACGCAAGGUUGAUACGUGUUAUAUUUACCAAUUAAGAGAUUCGCGAUGCCACUUAUUCAGGAGCCGGUCCAUGUUGCGUCCGUUACGUUCUAACAGCGAUACGCAAAAAGGUGGAGUGAAACGGCUUCGUCAUUCUCGCGUGGUCAACUUCACGCGUCAAAAGUGACGCCGCGUCGCGCGGUUAACUUCACGCGCCAAAAGUAACGCCGCCGCGCGGUUGGUACGCUGAAUCCUUUUGCAGUAUCCUUGCUGCCAGCCAUCUUCCUCGUACAGCACGAGGUGCAAAAAGAUUUGGUACUGGCAUCACUGGAUACGCGUCCUUACAUGUCCAUUGUCCUAAACGAAUAAUUGAUAAUGCAACGACUGUCUUUUUCCGAUAUUGCGAGUAACACCGUAACACGUAAUAUUAUCCAGUAUAUGGAAAAUGCACGAGCGCAAUGUUAAUUUAAAUUGGGUAAUGAAAACUUAACCCAAGUUCCAAUGCACGUAAUAGUAUGUCACUACAAAAUGUGUAAACUUUUACAUAAGAUUUAUUCGAAGCUGUGGCACAUGACUAAGAAUGUGCAUAGCUAACAGAUUUGCUAUGCUGGAAGUUAAACUCCUGCUAUUUCAUUUACUAGCGUGAUGUGAGCUGAAAUCUUGUGCAAAAACUCCGUCCCUAAUAAAAUUUUUACAAAAGUCUGAUAAUGAUGCUGGAGAAUGGAUUAUGGUUUAAUAUUCAUCGUAGAAAAGAUAUACAUCCUAUGUUGAACUCUGUAAUAAGGCUAAAUCUCAAAAAACGUUUUAAAUCAUAAUAAGAUAUUAAGUUUGUAAUAAAAAUCAUUUUUGUGA